This 486-nucleotide ribosomal RNA is filed under the name uncultured bacterium. Its description in RNAcentral is "partial 16S ribosomal RNA". It matches the Rfam family "Bacterial small subunit ribosomal RNA", at positions 28 to 523 of the family's 1533-position model. The record is from RNAcentral.
GACGAACGCUGGCGGCGUGCUUAACACAUGCAAGUCGAACGGUGAAGCUCCAAGCUUGCUUGGGGUGGAUCAGUGGCGAACGGGUGAGUAACACGUGAGUAACCUGCCCCGGACUCUGGAAUAAGCGCUGGAAACGGCGUCUAAUACUGGAUAUGACAUCAAGCCGCAUGGUUAUGGUGUGGAAAGUUUUUCGGUCCGGGAUGGGCUCGCGGCCUAUCAGCUUGUUGGUGAGGUAAUGGCUCACCAAGGCGACGACGGGUAGCCGGCCUGAGAGGGCGACCGGCCACACUGGGACUGAGACACGGCCCAGACUCCUACGGGAGGCAGCAGUGGGGAAUAUUGCACAAUGGGCGAAAGCCUGAUUCAGCGACGCCGCGUGAGAGAUGCCGGCCUUCGGGUUGUAAACCUCUUUCAGCAGGGAAGAAGCGAAAGUGACGGUACCUGCAGAAGAAGCACCGGCUAACUACGUGCCAGCCGCCGCAGUAA